Molecule: long non-coding RNA, 576 nt
Filed under: Homo sapiens (human)
Lineage: Eukaryota; Metazoa; Chordata; Mammalia; Primates; Hominidae
Description: HSALNT0080050
Source: RNAcentral
CUUAGAAAGUAGCUUUGCCCAAGUCCUGGACCUAGGUUUAGCACGCUCCCUCUGGAUUUAAUUCUAAUCUCUAACUCCUCAGUGCCAUUCAGCUGCUGAAAUCUCUGCUCAGCAUUCAAGCUUUCUGUUUGCUGUUUCCCACUACAUAUCUUGAAGGCUUGCCUUGUACAUGCACAAGUCAGAAAUUUACCCACAAUUUGAGGGAAAUUAGGAUGCAGAUUUGGGGACACUCUCUUAGCUUCCUGUCUUUUUCAAUAGUUUGCUCCUCAAAUCACAGCUCCUUUGGCGUCCUGAAACGCCAGACUUUGUCUCCUCUGACGUGUGAAACUCCUGCUUUCUUCUUGGGCUCUUUUCGCCUUCACCACAACUUGGAAAAUGCCCCCAGGAAAAUUCCGAGGUUCUCAGGGUGGCAGAUGAGGAAGAAGGUGGAGAACAGGAUAGAAAUGAAAUUUUGAGAAGGGAGUCCAGCCUAGAAGGUAGGAUCCUGUAAGUCCCUUGACUGCUAGGCCAUUGUAUAUCAUUUUAACUGCUACUUCCAAAGUGUUUUCACAAUGUCUCUCACAUGAUAGUUGCUCC